AGGGAGCUGCCGAAGGUGGGACCGAUAACUGGGGUGAAGUCGUAACAAGGUAGCCGUAUCGGAAGGUGCGGCUGGAUCACCUCCUUUCUAAGGAA
This 95-nucleotide ribosomal RNA is filed under the name Lachnospiraceae bacterium MD308. RNAcentral's name for it is "partial 16S ribosomal RNA". It matches the Rfam family "Bacterial small subunit ribosomal RNA", at positions 1447 to 1533 of the family's 1533-position model. Lineage: Bacteria; Bacillati; Bacillota; Clostridia; Lachnospirales; Lachnospiraceae. The record is from RNAcentral.